RNAcentral lists this small RNA (591 nucleotides) under Pan troglodytes (chimpanzee). RNAcentral's name for it is "processed transcript". Lineage: Eukaryota; Metazoa; Chordata; Mammalia; Primates; Hominidae. The record is from RNAcentral.
UGUUCGCGGGAGCGCCGCACCUACACCAGCCAACCCAGAUCCCGAGGUCCGACAGCGUCCGGCCCAGAUCCCCACGCCUGCCAGCUCCACUCCGCUGUCGCCCACCCGCAUCACCCGGCUGCAGGAGAAGGAGGACCUGCAGGAGCUCAAUGAUCGCUUGGCGGUCUACAUCGACCGUGUGCGCUCGCUGGAAACGGAGAACGCAGGGCUGCGCCUUCGCAUCACCGAGUCUGAAGAGGUGGUCAGCCGCGAGGUGUCCGGCAUCAAGGCCGCCUACGAGGCCGAGCUCGGGGAUGCCCGCAAGACCCUUGACUCAGUAGCCAAGGAGCGCGCCCGCCUGCAGCUGGAGCUGAGCAAAGUGCGUGAGGAGUUUAAGGAGCUGAAAGCGCGCAAUACCAAGAAGGAGGGUGACCUGAUAGCUGCUCAGGCUCGGCUGAAGGACCUGGAGGCUCUGCUGAACUCCAAGGAGGCCGCACUGAGCACUGCUCUCAGUGAGAAGCGCACGCUGGAGGGCGAGCUGCAUGAUCUGCGGGGCCAGGUGGCCAAGCUUGAGGCAGCCCUAGGUGAGGCCAAGAAGCAACUUCAGGAUGA